CCGUACCCUGCCUCAGCAGUAAGGAUUAUGACGUUUAUACAAUUUAUUCCGGUUAUUCCUUAUAUGAAUUGCCCAUACAAUCCUGCAGCAAGAUGUUUGACGUUCAAUCCAUACCUGAGGAAGUAUUUUACAAUCUGUCCUCUUUUCAAUUGGAAUGGUCCAGACCAUCUUGUGGACAUUGCGAAUCCAAUGGCAAACAUUGUAGAUUGAAGAAUGACAGUUCAAUCUUGCAUGAUACUGAAUGCGACAGCAGCAAACCAGAAGGUAAUUUUACAUAUAUUUUCC
This 285-nucleotide long non-coding RNA is filed under the name Olea europaea subsp. europaea. Lineage: Eukaryota; Viridiplantae; Streptophyta; Magnoliopsida; Lamiales; Oleaceae. The record is from RNAcentral.